This 298-nucleotide ribosomal RNA is filed under the name uncultured bacterium. Its description in RNAcentral is "partial 16S ribosomal RNA". It matches the Rfam family "Bacterial small subunit ribosomal RNA", at positions 29 to 306 of the family's 1533-position model. The record is from RNAcentral.
AGCGAACGUUAGCGGCGGGCUUAACACAUGCAAGUCGCACGAGAACGAGGGGGCAAACUCCUCUAGUAAAGUGGCGCACGGGUGCGUAACACGUAGGUGAACUACCCUCCGAUGGGGGACAACCGGGCCGAAAGGCUGGCUAAUACCGCGUACGUCAGCGGGACAUUCGAGUCCUGUUGGGAAAGCGGCCCUCUUCACGAAAGGUCGCGUCGGAGGUUGUGCCUGCGGCCCAUCAGCUAGUUGGUGAGGUAAUGGCUCACCAAGGCUAAGACGGGUAGCUGGUCUGAGAGGAUGAUCA